UCCAGACUCCUACGGGAGGCAGCAGUGGGGAAUAUUGCACAAUGGGGGAAACCCUGAUGCAGCGACGCCGCGUGAGUGAAGAAGUAAUUCGUUAUGUAAAGCUCUAUCAGCAGGGAAGAAAAUGACGGUACCUGAGUAAGAAGCCACGGCUAACUACGUGCCAGCAGCCGCGGUAAUACAUAGGUGGCAAGCGUUGUCCGGAUUUACUGGGUGUAAAGGGCGUGUAGCCGGGAAGGCAAGUCAGAUGUGAAAUCCGGAGGCUCAACCUCCGAAUUGCAUUUGAAACUGUUUUUCUUGAGUACUGGAGAGGCAGACGGAAUUCCUUGUGUAGCGGUGAAAUGCGUAGAUAUAAGGAGGAACACCAUUGGCGAAGGCGGUCUGCUGGACAGCAACUGACGGUGAGGCGCGAAAGCGUGGGGAGCAAACAGGAUUAGAUACCCCGGUA
Molecule: ribosomal RNA, 445 nt
Filed under: uncultured bacterium
Lineage: Bacteria
Description: bacterial SSU rRNA
Rfam family: Bacterial small subunit ribosomal RNA
Source: RNAcentral